GCGGGUGUAGCGCAGGGGUCGACGCGCGCGGUCUCCAAAACCGCGAGGACGCCGGUUCGAAUCCGGUCACCCGCC
This 75-nucleotide transfer RNA is filed under the name Streptomyces fradiae. Its description in RNAcentral is "tRNA-Trp". It matches the Rfam family "tRNA". From Rfam's summary of the family: Transfer RNA (tRNA) molecules are approximately 80 nucleotides in length. Their secondary structure includes four short double-helical elements and three loops (D, anti-codon, and T loops). RNAcentral also lists the same sequence under 3 other names. Lineage: Bacteria; Bacillati; Actinomycetota; Actinomycetes; Kitasatosporales; Streptomycetaceae. The record is from RNAcentral.